RNAcentral lists this ribosomal RNA (494 nucleotides) under uncultured bacterium. RNAcentral's name for it is "partial 16S ribosomal RNA". It matches the Rfam family "Bacterial small subunit ribosomal RNA", at positions 28 to 507 of the family's 1533-position model. The record is from RNAcentral.
GACGAACGCUGGCGGCGUGCUUAACACAUGCAAGUCGAGCGGUGAAGCGCCUUCCUUUUUGGUGGGUGUGGAUGAGUGGCGAACGGGUGAGUAACACGUGAGUAACCUGCCCCCUUCUUCUGGAUAACCGCAUGAAAGUGUGGCUAAUACGGGAUAUUCUGGGUCUGUCGCAUGAUGGGUCUGGGAAAGAUAUUGUUUCGGUGGGGGAUGGGCUCGCGGCCUAUCAGCUUGUUGGUGGGGUGAUGGCCUACCAAGGCGGUGCCGGGUAGCCGGCCUGAGAGGGUGGACGGUCACACUGGGACUGAGACACGGCCCAGCCUCCUACGGGAGGCAGCAGUGGGGAAUAUUGCACAAUGGGCGCAAGCCUGAUGCAGCGACGCCGCGUGAGGGAUGGAGGCCUUCGGGUUGUGAACCUCUUUCGCCAGUGAAGCAGGCCUGCCUCGUUUGUGGGUGGGUUGACGGUAGCUGGAUAAGAAGCGCCGGCUAACUACGUG